CCUGCGUUUGGUUAACGUUGAUCCCAAGCUGAGAGCCUCCACCGUUGAGGGCUUGACACAAACAGUCAGGAGAAGACCUGACUACAUUACCUAGCUGACUACAGCAUUGCUGAGAAGGAGAGGUAGUGUUUCCUGUUAUGUAGUUGAGACAGGGAGACAUGCUGAUCAACGCGGUUGUGCAACUGGACUGAGCAGAGACUCUUGCAGAAGACAUCACAGCCAUAAAAACUGUAAGCAACUCUAGAACUCUUCCCAUUUUCAUGUUUCCUCGUGUUUGGUCCAUACAAAAAAUAAAAAAUACAUUUGUGCGCGUGAUUCAUAUUCUAAUAGUUUGAAAACCGAAAUAAAAUGACUCAACAUAAAGUAUAAAAAAUUAUUUAAAAAUGCCAUAUUAAAUAAUUAUUUCAUACAGUAAAUUUUUAAAAUAUAGACUACUGUUUGUACAGUAUAAAUAUUUAUUUAAAAAAGUAAAAACGAAUAUCUGCACAGGUGUACGGAUCAAAUUCUAGUUUUAUUUAUAAAGCAAACUUAUUUCUUAAUUUAUAGUAAAAUGAAGAAUAGAGUUCUUUCAUUCAACUAUAUUUUAAAGCGAGAAACAUAAUAUGGUUGGGUUGGAGAUGCUAUGAUUCGUACGAAAGUUGAAACAAAUUCUUCUCUCAUUUGGGAUACUUUUUACUUUUCCAUCCACUAUCUCUGGCUCUUGAGUUUUGAACCCAAAACAUUCGGAUUACUAUUUGGAGGGUUAAUGUUCUGUUUUUCAAAUUUGUAAUUUGGAAAAUAAUGCUUAUUAUUAAAGGUAAAGAGAUCGAACAUGCUACCCUUAAAGUAGGGAUUCAUAGAGGAUAAAAUACAUUACACAUCUCAACGAAAUGUGAAUAAAUAGGGAUUAACAAAAAAAUGCAAUCCGAGUGUGGCAUAAAAGCUUCAUCGGUUUCAGGAUAAACAUGGAUGAGAAGAAAUCAGUAUUUCAAGAAGAUUGCGAUGUAGGAAGCCACGGAAAGGAAGGUAAGAAGACGAUAUGAGAUCUUGAUAGAGCUUCCGUGUGAUCCAUCUCCUUCUCCUACUGGCACAGUUUUCGAUCCAUUUCCUGGUCCUAUUCCCAAAAUGAGUGCAUUAGAUAACAUAGUAUAUACGGAGAUCGGUGUGUCUUCAUUGCAUGUUUUUAUAAUUUCAUUUACCUGAAGAAUUUGGUGAAUCUGUAGGAGAGUCAGUAGUAGAACCACCACCUAAAAAAUGUUAUAAUACUUCAUAAAAUUCACAAGUUUUGUGGGGGGGGGUUUGGAACAAUCUUGAUUUUCUUGAAAUUCUCUUACCGUUGUUACAGCGACUGACAGGAGGAGUUUGAACAUUACAAGCCCUAGGCAAAGCAAGAGCCUGCGUUUGGUUAACGUUGAUCCCAAGCUGAGAGCCUCCACCGUUGAGGGCUUGACACAAACAGUCAGGAGAAGACCUGACUACAUUACCUAGCUGACUACAGCAUUGCUGAGAAGGAGAGGUAGUGUUUCCUGUUAUGUAGUUGAGACAGGGAGACAUGCUGAUCAACGCGGUUGUGCAACUGGACUGAGCAGAGACUCUUGUAGAAGACAUCACAGCCAUAAAAACUGUAAGCAACACUAGAA
Molecule: long non-coding RNA, 1619 nt
Filed under: Brassica napus (rape)
Lineage: Eukaryota; Viridiplantae; Streptophyta; Magnoliopsida; Brassicales; Brassicaceae
Description: long non-coding RNA (BNAP_LNC018844)
Source: RNAcentral